This 147-nucleotide unclassified non-coding RNA is filed under the name Arabidopsis thaliana (thale cress). RNAcentral describes it as "partial MIR160b microRNA precursor". The record is from RNAcentral. Lineage: Eukaryota; Viridiplantae; Streptophyta; Magnoliopsida; Brassicales; Brassicaceae.
AUAACUCUCCCCAAAUUCUUGACCAAAAAUAUCCGCCACUUUCUCUCUGGUUCAUGUUUUCCCCUCAAUGAAAUACAUACACAUUUUGAUUUUAUUUAAAUCAAGAUCGACGUAUAAGCUAUCCACCAAUCAUACUUAAGGGUUCCC